Gossypium hirsutum (cotton) is the source of this 45-nucleotide non-coding RNA. NCBI's taxonomy places the organism in Eukaryota, Viridiplantae, Streptophyta, Magnoliopsida, Malvales, Malvaceae. The record is from Rfam.
ACAAGGGAUUUUUUUAAAUCCACAUAAAAACUAAAAUAAAACAAA